UGAAAGUAAGUGUUUCGCACAUAUAAAUUUGAGUUAUAGAGAGGAAGCAAAUAUCCACUUUCAU
This 64-nucleotide transfer RNA is filed under the name Hyriopsis bialata. Its description in RNAcentral is "tRNA-Gln". Lineage: Eukaryota; Metazoa; Mollusca; Bivalvia; Unionida; Unionidae. The record is from RNAcentral.